AGAGUGCCCCAAGGGCAAUGGCUAGGAAAAAUAAAUUUUUAGGUGAUAAGGUUAGAAAGUUGAUGUUCCAGCUCUGUUAGCUCAGUGCAACUCAUACAAUUAGUGGGCUUUGAGAUCGGCUGGGUUCUAGGCAACAAUUCAAUCAAGAACUCUACUUCACGUAGGGGAGGUAGACUAAGAAGUUCGAUGGGAAAGACAUCCGAAAAAUUACAAAUAAUUGGUAUGGUACACACAGCAGGAUCAACACCCAUAUUCCUGUUCAUUCAAUUGUUAAGAAAAUGAUAACAAUAACUUUUAUUUCUUUUUUGGGGAAUGUAAGGUUACAAUUUUACUUUCACAGUCUAUUAUAGCUCUAUACUUUUUCAAUUAGUCCAUUCCUAAUAUUAUAUUAAAUCCUAAAAAAUCUAACAGUAUCAAGUUUAUACAUACCUCUAUUCUUGAAGUUUUU
RNAcentral lists this long non-coding RNA (448 nucleotides) under Carica papaya (papaya). RNAcentral describes it as "long non-coding RNA (CPAP_LNC003429)". The record is from RNAcentral. Lineage: Eukaryota; Viridiplantae; Streptophyta; Magnoliopsida; Brassicales; Caricaceae.